AGGGGGGGGUGCUAUACAUGCAAGUCGAGCGAACAGAUAAGGAGCUUGCUCCUUUGACGUUAGCGGCGGACGGGUGAGUAACACGUGGGUAACCUACCUAUAAGACUGGAAUAACUCCGGGAAACCGGGGCUAAUGCCGGAUAAUAUUUAGAACCGCAUGGUUCUAAAGUGAAAGAUGGUUUUACUAUCACUUAUAGAUGGACCCGCGCCGUAUUAGCUAGUUGGUGGGGUAAUGGCUUACCAAGGCAACGAUACGUAGCCGACCUGAGAGGGUGAUCGGCCACACUGGAACUGAGACACGGUCCAGACUCCUACGGGAGGCAGCAGUAGGGAAUCUUCCGCAAUGGGCGAAAGCCUGACGGAGCAACGCCGCGUGAGUGAUGAAGGUCUUCGGAUCGUAAAACUCUGUUAUUAGGGAAGAACAAAUGUGUAAGUAACUGUGCACGUCUUGACGGUACCUAAUCAGAAAGCCACGGCUAACUACGUGCCAGCAGCCGCGGUAAUACGUAGGUGGCAAGCGUUAUCCGGAAUUAUUGGGCGUAAAGCGCGCGUAGGCGGUUUCUUAAGUCUGAUGUGAAAGCCCACGGCUCAACCGUGGAGGGUCAUUGGAAACUGGGAAACUUGAGUGCAGAAGAGGAAAGUGGAAUUCCAUGUGUAGCGGUGAAAUGCGCAGAGAUAUGGAGGAACACCAGUGGCGAAGGCGACUUUCUGGUCUGUAACUGACGCUGAUGUGCGAAAGCGUGGGGAUCAAACAGGAUUAGAUACCCUGGUAGUCCACGCCGUAAACGAUGAGUGCUAAGUGUUAGGGGGUUUCCGCCCCUUAGUGCUGCAGCUAACGCAUUAAGCACUCCGCCUGGGGAGUACGACCGCAAGGUUGAAACUCAAAGGAAUUGACGGGGACCCGCACAAGCGGUGGAGCAUGUGGGUUUAAUUUCGAAAGCAACGCGAAAGAACCCUUACCAAAUCUUGACAUCCUUUUGACAACCUCUAGAGAU
Molecule: ribosomal RNA, 995 nt
Filed under: Staphylococcus nepalensis
Lineage: Bacteria; Bacillati; Bacillota; Bacilli; Caryophanales; Staphylococcaceae
Description: bacterial SSU rRNA
Rfam family: Bacterial small subunit ribosomal RNA
Source: RNAcentral